This 497-nucleotide ribosomal RNA is filed under the name uncultured bacterium. RNAcentral's name for it is "partial 16S ribosomal RNA". It matches the Rfam family "Bacterial small subunit ribosomal RNA", at positions 28 to 507 of the family's 1533-position model. The record is from RNAcentral.
GAUGAACGCUGGCGGCGUGCCUAAUACAUGCAAGUCGAGCGAACAGACGAGGAGCUUGCUCCUCUGACGUUAGCGGCGGACGGGUGAGUAACACGUGGAUAACCUACCUAUAAGACUGGGAUCACUUCGGGAAACCGGAGCUAAUACCGGAUAAUAUAUUGAACCGCAUGGUUCAAUAGUGAAAGACGGUUUUGCUGUCACUUAUAGAUGGAUCCGCGCCGCAUUAGCUAGUUGGUAAGGUAACAGCUUACCAAGGCAACGAUGCGUAGCCGACCUGAGAGGGUGAUCGGCCACACUGGAACUGAGACACGGUCCAGACUCCUACGGGAGGCAGCAGUAGGGAAUAUUCCGCAAUGGGCGAAAGCCUGACGGAGCAACGCCGCGUGAGUGAUGAAGGUCUUCGGAUCGUAAAGCUCUGUUAUUAGGGAAGAACAAAUGUGUAAGUAACUAUGCACGUCUUGACGGUACCUAAUCAGAAAGCCACGGCUAACUACGUG